RNAcentral lists this ribosomal RNA (1554 nucleotides) under Staphylococcus aureus. Its description in RNAcentral is "16S ribosomal RNA". It matches the Rfam family "Bacterial small subunit ribosomal RNA". Lineage: Bacteria; Bacillati; Bacillota; Bacilli; Caryophanales; Staphylococcaceae. The record is from RNAcentral.
UUUAUGGAGAGUUUGAUCCUGGCUCAGGAUGAACGCUGGCGGCGUGCCUAAUACAUGCAAGUCGAGCGAACGGACGAGAAGCUUGCUUCUCUGAUGUUAGCGGCGGACGGGUGAGUAACACGUGGAUAACCUACCUAUAAGACUGGGAUAACUUCGGGAAACCGGAGCUAAUACCGGAUAAUAUUUUGAACCGCAUGGUUCAAAAGUAAAAGACGGUCUUGCUGUCACUUAUAGAUGGAUCCGCGCUGCAUUAGCUAGUUGGUAAGGUAACGGCUUACCAAGGCAACGAUGCAUAGCCGACCUGAGAGGGUGAUCGGCCACACUGGAACUGAGACACGGUCCAGACUCCUACGGGAGGCAGCAGUAGGGAAUCUUCCGCAAUGGGCGAAAGCCUGACGGAGCAACGCCGCGUGAGUGAUGAAGGUCUUCGGAUCGUAAAACUCUGUUAUUAGGGAAGAACAUAUGUGUAAGUAACUGUGCACAUCUUGACGGUACCUAAUCAGAAAGCCACGGCUAACUACGUGCCAGCAGCCGCGGUAAUACGUAGGUGGCAAGCGUUAUCCGGAAUUAUUGGGCGUAAAGCGCGCGUAGGCGGUUUUUUAAGUCUGAUGUGAAAGCCCACGGCUCAACCGUGGAGGGUCAUUGGAAACUGGAAAACUUGAGUGCAGAAGAGGAAAGUGGAAUUCCAUGUGUAGCGGUGAAAUGCGCAGAGAUAUGGAGGAACACCAGUGGCGAAGGCGACUUUCUGGUCUGUAACUGACGCUGAUGUGCGAAAGCGUGGGGAUCAAACAGGAUUAGAUACCCUGGUAGUCCACGCCGUAAACGAUGAGUGCUAAGUGUUAGGGGGUUUCCGCCCCUUAGUGCUGCAGCUAACGCAUUAAGCACUCCGCCUGGGGAGUACGACCGCAAGGUUGAAACUCAAAGGAAUUGACGGGGACCCGCACAAGCGGUGGAGCAUGUGGUUUAAUUCGAAGCAACGCGAAGAACCUUACCAAAUCUUGACAUCCUUUGACAACUCUAGAGAUAGAGCCUUCCCCUUCGGGGGACAAAGUGACAGGUGGUGCAUGGUUGUCGUCAGCUCGUGUCGUGAGAUGUUGGGUUAAGUCCCGCAACGAGCGCAACCCUUAAGCUUAGUUGCCAUCAUUAAGUUGGGCACUCUAAGUUGACUGCCGGUGACAAACCGGAGGAAGGUGGGGAUGACGUCAAAUCAUCAUGCCCCUUAUGAUUUGGGCUACACACGUGCUACAAUGGACAAUACAAAGGGCAGCGAAACCGCGAGGUUAAGCAAAUCCCAUAAAGUUGUUCUCAGUUCGGAUUGUAGUCUGCAACUCGACUACAUGAAGCUGGAAUCGCUAGUAAUCGUAGAUCAGCAUGCUACGGUGAAUACGUUCCCGGGUCUUGUACACACCGCCCGUCACACCACGAGAGUUUGUAACACCCGAAGCCGGUGGAGUAACCUUUUAGGAGCUAGCCGUCGAAGGUGGGACAAAUGAUUGGGGUGAAGUCGUAACAAGGUAGCCGUAUCGGAAGGUGCGGCUGGAUCACCUCCUUUCU